RNAcentral lists this long non-coding RNA (5456 nucleotides) under Marmota monax (woodchuck). Lineage: Eukaryota; Metazoa; Chordata; Mammalia; Rodentia; Sciuridae. The record is from RNAcentral.
CCUGGGCUGAUGCGCCCUGAAAGCUAGCGGCUCUGAGGUGUGCGGAGCCCUGGCUGCUCGCCUGGCCUCCCCCAGCUCAGGACAACUGCCCAGCCUGCCUGGCCUCCCGUCCGUCCUGUUCUUCAUGACUUCAUCCACCCUCCCUCUGCUCUGCAGACACCAGGAGGAGUGGGAGUCGAGGCCACGGGUAUCGACCCUCUCCAGACCAUGCCUGCCCCUGACCGGCUAUUCUUGGCAAAUUCCGUCCUGGGGAGUGACCUGCCAGGCGUCUGCUUUGACGUAUCAGCGGGUGUGUGCUCAGGGAGCAGAACUCACUGUGGCCUGAGCUGGAGCAAAGAGCAGUUAGGAGGUCAAGUGCGCACAAGGACAACUGCACAAGCUGGGGGCCGAGCGCACACCGGCUCCCCUCCACCAGCAUUUCCCUGCUUUCUUGAACAGCAGCGUUUGAGUUCUGAGUCCCCGAAGCACAGACGGGAAGCCGCAUCCCCAUGUGGCCCAUUACCAGGACCAUCUUUUGUUAAAGUCCCUGUUCUUCCCGCAUCCGUGGUUGCGGCCAGCCAGAUCCGGCAGCAGCGCCCUCCCCCAUAGCUUGUGGUCGGACCUCACUCGCCCACGACAAAGAGGUUCACCCUGCAUUUCCUCCUCGAAAAUGAUUUGUGCAGCAAUUUUCAUCUUCUGGGAAAAUGUGAGGGGAAGAAAGAAGAGCCCCGGACUGGGAGUUCUUGGUAAUUAAUUGAGAAUGGAGACACGGAGCUCCAUUCAGCCGGUAAUUGGAUUUAAACCCCACGGGAGUUGCUUUAAAUGCAGAUACUAAUGUGUGAGCCAUCUUCCCUGCAAUGGAUCUCCCUGUCAGAUCUAAGGAUGGUUGGGAUCCAGAAAGAAAACGCCCUGAAGUGAGGUGAGCUCCCCAGAACAAGUCGGAGCCGUGAGGGAUGCCUGCGCAGUACUCCUAUCAGAUGUCCCCCAGGUCCUGGCGAGGAGUGGCGAGUCCGGGUCACUAAGAGCUGCCCAACGGGGCCCUGGGGUCAGGGAUGGACCGCCCAUCUUCUCAGGUCUGCAGGUUAUUGGGGGUGUGCCUUGGCGGGACCGCAGGGCCCUGGUCUCGUCUCUUUGUCUCUUCCUGGCCAUGAAGUGACCGGGUUUGCCCACCACACACUCCUGAUGCCUGACCAUAGACCCAGAGCCGCAAGGCCAACCAGUUAUGGACCCGAUACCCAGAGCUGUGAGCCCAAAUAAGCUUUUUGUGUCUGCAAGUUGCUUAUCUCAGUAUCUGUUAGAGUAACAGAAACAUGACCAGCAGCCCCUAAUAUAAUAGUGCAGUUGUCCCCCGUAUCCAUGGGGGAUUGGUUCCAGAACCCCCGGGGACACCAAAAUUCAAGGAAGUUCAAGUCCGUCACAGGAAAUGGCACAACAUUUUCAUGUCACCUGUGCACAUCUCCCAUCGGCUCCGAGUCAUGCCUAGAUGGCGUGGGACACCGGAUUCCAUGCUAGCGCUCUAGGAACAGCCGUUACACCUUGUGGUCUAGGUAACGGUCACAAGAGAAAUGCCCAUGCAUGUUCAGUACAGAUGUCAUUUUAAAAGACGCUUUCCACCUGAGGUUGGUUGAAUACUUGGACACAGGACCCACACAUGGGCCACCUGGAUUUUAUUACCUUAUUAUGUUUUUAGUUGCCUAGGGACGGGGACAGCCUACUGCCCUUUCCCAGGAUACCUGACUGUUGGGAAGGGGAUGGGGACGACAUGCAAGUCCCACCCUCUUGGUCUCUUAGGUGGGCUGCCCAAAGGAUGGAGGCCCUUCUGCAGCCCCAGCCUCCAGGUGGUGAGCACACUGGGUCCACUCCUGGUCCUCCCUUUAGGGACAGGUCAGGUGACGGUCAUUGAGGAGCGCCUUUUUGCCUGAUCAGGGCGGCGGCUCUGGUGGCAGACGGGCCACCGUGCCCUGGCGGGGGCUGGGCUGCGUCUGCUCACAGUCACUCUGCUCUGGACUCAAGGGAGACUCAGGAAUAGAAGCCCCGGGGUCCUACAGGGCACAGCGUCCAGGGCGGUACCAGGGGCAAGUGCCCUUAGCUGUUUUGUGGAGGUGGGAAUCACGUAGAUAGCACAGCCUCCGAGAGAACUUGCCACCAACCAUCACCCACCUGAAGUCUUCCAGGUACACUGCUGGGUGUCUGUGAGGGAUGUUGGCAGGGCAAGGUCACAGUCCCUGUUUUACUUCCUGUUGAUUGACAGCAGGACCUGCCUUCCAGGAGCACUCCUCCAGGAGAAUGUUCUAGAAGGUUCCUGACAGGAUGCUGGCUGUCCUCCUGGACUCUGCUCCCUUACAGCCACCAGGACACUGUGCUAAUCCAAUGGAUCUCUGACCUGAGUUUGUGGCUAAGUUUCGUGUUCCCAAGUCACAUGCCAGCGGUUUACCUCGGAGCUCCGAUCCCUGCCGUCUACAGACUCUGCUCCCCACACUCCCCACCCUGUGGCUGCCAGAUGUCCCGGGGCACGGGGGGGGGGCAGGGUGGGAGGUGGCGGGGGUGGGAGUGGGAUUCAGGUGUCUGCCUGCUCCGUGCCCCAGCCAGAGCCCCUCUGUGGUGAGACCACCAGUCCCGGUGGGGAGGCCGCUUCCUGCCGUGGCCUGCUGCAGGGUGGCUAGCGCUGUCACCGCCGUCUUCCCAUGCUGAGUCUCUCCUCGGCUGACCUGGGCCGAGCACGGCUGCCCCGGCCUGCCCUGGCCAUUGCAGACGUUCAUGGUCCACAGAGAUGAGGACCUGCUCGGCUUGGCCGGGUCACUGACCCCCUGGACAAGAGUCAGAUCUGUAUUUGAUUGAUCCUCUUGUUCCCAUUUAGCCCUUAAAGAUAAAUAUUUCCCUCUUAGGAGGAAAUAAGAUCGUGUGGCUGAGGAUGUGUUCUGUCUAUGGGCCUCUGGAGGGAGGCAGAGGAGGGGCCGACCUGAGCCAAUAAUUUAAAUCUGCUAGAGACAUUGUCCCCGUGCCCAGAGCUCAGGCUCCCCCGUAUGGGCUUGGAGCAUCCCUGGUGGACUGCAGCCGUCCCCUCCCCCUUGGGACCUUCAUGGACACCUCUCCUGCUCCACGGGUGCUGCAGUGCGGGUGGGAGGGAGACUGUCAGUCCCUCCCACUUUGGAAAAGGCGUGGAGAUGCGUGGGUGCUUCUCAGAGGGCUUGAUGUGCCUACACGAUCCUAGGACACGGCUUCGUCACAGGGCAGGACUGCCACGGUGUCACUCAGUAACAAGAGUCAUGACGAGACGUGAGCUACGCGGAAGGGCAUGAACAUCUUCAGGAGGCCUGGGAUCCUCUCGUGGAGGUGGCAGACCAGUGACACCAGCCCUGUAGCACCAGCCUGGCACAUGUCCUCUCCCUUUCCACACAGAGCCUCCUCUUGAGCUGGCACAGUGGCUCACACCUGUGAUCCCAGCCACUUGGGAGGCUGAGGCAGGAGGAUCACAAAUUUGAGGCUGGUCUCAGCAACCCAGGACCUCAACAACUUAGUGGGACUCUUAAAAUUAAAAAUAAUCACAUUCUGCAAUCUGCAUACGGGGUAAAAAUGGGAGUUCAUAACCCACUUGAAUCAAAUGUAUGAAAUAUGAUAUGUCAAGAGCUUUGUUAUAGUUAAAGCUUUGUCCCAGGGUUUCAUAAACUGACUUCCAGACCACUCACGUAUAAUCGAAUCAAGCCUUUAUUGAAGCACACCGGUGGCGGCUGACCAGAACAUAAAGCUGUUCCCCUGAUCAGCCCCGAACAAUUGCAAGAGCACUCCUUAUAAGCCUGAAAACCGCAAAAGGGAUGUUCAGGGGGUCUAGCCAGUGCAAGCCAACCAGGUUACAGAAGCGGGACAGCGCAGUCAAGCGGAGGGAAGCCUAACCAAUCACAGUUAGCCCAGUCACCCCAGUUACAGAAACAGAGCCCCGUUACCCUAGUUACAGAAACUAUGCCCCAUUAGGUAGUUCCAGUUCUUAAAGGUUUCUAUAGCAAAAGGAAAAGAACAUCUUGCCCCAGUCAUGACUCUUCUACUUGUCCUGGUUGUUUUACAGGAUGAAGUCAUAAAACAAAAUGGAGUCACAUUUGCUCCUACUAUCACAGCUUUGUAAUGUUUUGAACAACCAAUAAUAAAAAAAAAAUUAAAAAUAAUAACAAUUAAAGUGUAGCUCAGUGGUGGAGCAAACCUGGGUUCAAUCCUCAGUGCCAAAAAAACCCCACAAAAAAAACCCAAAGGUCAAACAACACCCCCACCCUCAACGAAGCCUCUGCCUGUCCCCAGAGCCAGCAGAACACAGGCCCAUUUUAGUUACCAGCUUUUGACCUGGCCUUCGUCGGGGUCUUAUGGCGCAGACCAAGGGGCUGGUCAGGGAACUGUGCCCCUCCCUGCCACUCAGGGGUCCAAAUGGACCCAAGCCCUCAGCUGCCCCAUGUGUCCACCCUGCCCUCGUCUUCCCGGGGGGCAGCAGUGGCCGCCAGGCUCCACCUCACACUAGUUCACUGCUGAAGGGGCUCGGGACCCACUUGCACCAUCCUAGUGAAUUCAGGAAACGGGAACAGGUGUGGCAAAGCUCCCUCCUCGCCCCAGCCCAGACACGGCGAGUGGGACCUCUUGUGUCCACUGACUCCAGGGGUGUGGUCUCUUCCUAAAGCCUGUUGACGUAACACCGAGGGUGCUCGGUACUUAGUCCAAUGUCUAACUUUGAAAACUGAACACUCCACGGACAGCUGAUGGGCUGAAGAUCCGUAUUUAUUACGGGGGCAGGGGCAUCCUUCCUCUUGAGAUUCCUAGGGUUCCAUCACCAGCGGGCGUUGAAUUUCAUUGUGUAUUUUUAGCAGCUGUGAAAGUGAGCAGAUGGUCUUUCCAGCGGCCUGACCUAUCGACGGGGGGUUGUUACUGGAAGCUUCUCUCCGGCUCCUCUUAGGGAGGAGCCGCAGAGGUGUGUGUUGUGUGGUGGAUAGGGAUGAAGGAAGGUUUCUGGAUGACUUAAGGGUAGUGACCCUUGUUCUCUGCUCUUCCCCAAGUUCAAGUCUUCGGGAGCCCAGGCUGGAGACCAAGGUGAAGCUGAGGAACUCGCCUGAGUCGGGACCUGGGACCUGGGGACCUCAUCCUGCCACCCUGGCCUGACGCCUCUGGACAACUGAGCCAGGACGCUGCUGGACAACACCCCCCCCCAGGAGGCCCAGGGAGCAGGGUGACUUGGCUGCUCUGCUGUCAAGGGCAGGACAUGAGCAGGCACUGCCUCUGGCCUCUGGCCUCUGGGGCUUUCUUGGGUCCCUGCUAAUCACACAGUAAGCAGCGUCCUGGGGAGAAGGUGGUGGAUAGAAGCCCCGAAUGUCCGCAGACCUGGAGGGACGUCAGGUCCCAAGGGGAAGGCUGGGGGGCUUGAAUAGGGGUCUUCCCCCCAAGGUCCCCGUGUUAGAGGCUUGGUGCCCUGAGGGAUGCUAUUGGGAGUGCUGGGGACCUGGGGG